RNAcentral lists this ribosomal RNA (497 nucleotides) under uncultured bacterium. Its description in RNAcentral is "partial 16S ribosomal RNA". It matches the Rfam family "Bacterial small subunit ribosomal RNA", at positions 28 to 507 of the family's 1533-position model. The record is from RNAcentral.
GAUGAACGCUGGCGGCGUGCCUAACACAUGCAAGUCGAGCGGAAAGACGCGGCUUUUGCUCGGCUCACGUGAGGGGCGGGCGUGUGAGUCACAUGAGUAUCCCCUACCUAUCUGACUGAGAUCACUACGGGAAAGCGGAUCAUACACCGGAUAAUAUAUUGAACCACAUGGGUCAUUAGAAAAAGACGGCUUUGCUGUCUCUACUAGAGGCUUACCCGCUGUAUUAGCUAGUAGGUAGGGUAACGGCAUACCAAGGCGAGGAUGCGUAGCAGACCUGCGAGGGUGAUCGGCCACACGAGAGCUGAGACACGGUCCAGACUCCUACGGGAGGCAGCAGUAGGGAAUGUUCGGCAGUGGGCGAAAGCCUGACGCAGCAAGGCCGCGUGAGUGAAGAAGGUCUUCGGAUCGUAAAGCUCUGUUACUAGGGAAGAACAGAUGUGUAAGGAGACGUGGACGUCUUGACGGUACCGAGUCAAGAAGCACCGGCUAACUACGUG